This 254-nucleotide ribosomal RNA is filed under the name uncultured bacterium. RNAcentral's name for it is "partial 16S ribosomal RNA". It matches the Rfam family "Bacterial small subunit ribosomal RNA", at positions 524 to 776 of the family's 1533-position model. The record is from RNAcentral.
GACGAACCGUGCGAACGUUAUUCGGAAUCAUUGGGCUUAAAGGGCGCGUAGGCGGGCGACCGCGUUGAGUGCUGAAAGCCCCCGGCUCAACCGGGGAACGGGCCUCGAAACGGGUCGCCUCGAGGCGAGGAGGGGGACCUGGAACUUCCGGUGGAGCGGUGAAAUGCGUUGAGAUCGGAAGGAACGCCAACGGCGAAAGCAAGGUCCUGGACUCGUCCUGACGCUGAGGCGCGAAAGCCAGGGGAGCGAACGGG